This 253-nucleotide ribosomal RNA is filed under the name uncultured bacterium. RNAcentral describes it as "partial 16S ribosomal RNA". It matches the Rfam family "Bacterial small subunit ribosomal RNA", at positions 524 to 776 of the family's 1533-position model. The record is from RNAcentral.
UACGUAGGGGGCAAGCGUUAUCCGGAUUUACCGGGUGUAGAGGGAGCGUAGACGGCUUGGCAAGCCAGAUGUGAAAGGCUGGGGCUCAACCCCAGGACUGCAUUUGGAACUGUCAUGCUAGAGUGUCGGAGAGGCAGGCGGAAUUCCUAGUGUAGCGGUGAAAUGCGUAGAUAUUAGGAGGAACACCAGUGGCGAAGGCGGCCUGCUGGACGAUGACUGACGUUGAGGCUCGAAAGCGUGGGGAGCAAACAGG